AGCAGCCGCGGUAAUUCCAGCUCCAAUAGCGUAUAUUAAAGUUGUUGCAGUUAAAAAGCUCGUAGUUGAAUUUCGGGAUUGACGUGAUGGUCAUGCCUUAAGGGGUAUGAACUGUUACUGUUGAUUUCUCACCUUCUAGGAAAAACUUGAUGUUCCUUUUAGUUGGGGUGUCUU
Molecule: ribosomal RNA, 174 nt
Filed under: uncultured Glomus
Lineage: Eukaryota; Fungi; Glomeromycota; Glomeromycetes; Glomerales; Glomeraceae
Description: partial 18S ribosomal RNA
Rfam family: Eukaryotic small subunit ribosomal RNA
Source: RNAcentral